GCCAGAGCAGGCCGUUGCUCUUUUCAAAGCCUGCAACCAGGACGCCAUGGCCCAAGCAAAUAUGGGUUAAGAAUCUCUCUACGUUUGAAUUUCAAGCGAUCGAACGGCGGCACUCUUCGCAGUGGCGCGGUUGGCCGAUGCCCAUAAACCCUAAAACCUCUUACGGCUUCGGGUUUUACCACCCAUUAAUUUAACAUGAGCAUCCAUUGCUUUAAAGAAGAUGAAGCUUUCCGUUGAGAGUUCUUCCCCUUUGCUUCACUCCUUUCAGCGAUGCUACUCUUCUUUCGCGGUUUUUUUCAAGUUAGUCGCAGAGCCUCUUACCGAGUAAUCUCUCUGUCUUCAAAUUCCUCGCAUCAGGGUUGCCUUUCUUUCAAUGCAUUUAAUGCCUCGUCGUCCCUAACAUCAAUAAAUGGCUGUUACAUUUCUUGUCUUUGGUUCACUAGCUUUCUUUGUAUGUUUCGGCUCCCUUUUGUUAGUUACUCGAAUACAAAUAGUUCAUUUGAAUCAUUAGACAUUGGUUCCCUUCGUAAAAUCAUACAACAAGACCUCUGGAACGAUCCUAAGAUUGUUAUUUUAUUUGAUUCAGCACUCGCGCCCAUUUGGGUCUCUAAGAUUUUAGUUGAAUUGAAAGAAGAUCCAAAGUUAGCUUUUAAGUUCUUCAAAUGGGCAGGAAGCCAGAUUGGUUUCUGCCAUACCACCGAGUCUUACUGCAUUAUAGCUCACAUGCUGUUUUGUGCGAGAAUGUAUACGAAUGCCCAUGAUAUUAUUAAAGAAGUGAUUUUGAAGUGUCGUAUCGACAUGAUUUUUCCACUUUGUAAUAUAUUUGAUAUGUUAUGGUCGACUAGGAAUGUUUGUGUGUCAGGAACAGGAGUCUUUGACAUUUUAUUUAGUGUUCUGGUAGAGUUGGGUCUGCUUGAGGAAGCUAAUGAAUGUUUCUCGAGAAUGAGGAAGUUUAGGACUCUUCCCAAAGCACGUUCAUGCAAUUUUCUUUUGCAUAGAUUAUCAAAGUCGGGGAAUGGACAGUUGGUGAGGAAGUUUUUCAAUGACAUGAUUGGGGCUGGGAUUGCACCUUCAGUUUUUACUUACAAUGUAAUGAUAGAUUACUUGUGCAAAGAAGGGGAUUUGGAAAAUGCUAGACGUUUGUUUGUGCAAAUGAGGCAAAUGGGCUUUUCUCCAGAUGUUGUCACCUAUAAUUCCUUGAUUGAUGGCUAUGGCAAGGUUGGGUUACUAGAAGAAUCCGUGUAUUUAUUUAAAGAAAUGAAGGAUAUCGGUUGUGUUCCUGACGUAAUUACUUAUAAUGCGUUGAUCAAUUGUUUUUGUAAGUUUGAGAAGAUGCCUCGAGCUUUUGAGUAUCUCUCUGAGAUGAAGAACAGUGGGUUAAAACCAAAUGUUGUAACAUAUAGCACAUUGAUUGAUGCUUUUUGCAAGGAGGGAAUGAUGCAAUAUGCCAUCAAACUUUUUGUUGAUAUGAGAAGAGUUGGCCUGCUACCCAAUGAAUUCACCUACACUUCUCUGAUUGAUGCCAAUUGUAAGGCAGGUAACUUAACAGAAGCAUGGAAGUUGUCCAACGAUAUGUUGCAGGCAGGAUUUAAUUUAAAUGUAGUAACCUAUACAGCUCUAAUGGUUGGGCUUUGUGAAGAUGGAAGAAUGAUGGAAGCGGCAGAAGUGUUUAGGGCAAUGCUGAAAGAUGGACUAUCGCCCAACCAGCAGGUUUGCACUGCUUUGGUUCAUGGCUAUAUUAAGGCAGAGAGAAUGGAGGAUGCAAUGGAAAUAUUGAAGCAAAUGACAGAAUGUAACAUCAAACCAGAUUUAAUACUCUAUGGCACCAUUAUUUGGGGUCUCUGUAGUCAAAACAAACUUGAAGAAACUGAACUUAUUAUUAAAGAAAUGAAAAGUCAGGGUAUUAGUGCAAAUCCUGUUAUAUACACAACAAUUAUGGAUGCUUAUUUUAAGGCUGGAAAAAGCUCAGAUGCAAUAAAUCUUCUUCAUAAGAUGCAGGAUAUGGGUGUUGAGGCUACUGUUGUAACCUACUGUGUACUAAUUGAUGGUCUGUGCAAAACAGGUAUGGUCGAACUGGCAGUUGAUUAUUUUGGUAGAAUGUCUGAUCUUGGUUUACAACCUAAUGUUGCAGUUUAUACGGCCCUUAUUGAUGGUCUUUGUAAAACUAAUUGCAUUGAAUCUGCCAAAAAGUUGUUUGAUGAAAUGCAAUAUAGGGGUAUGACCCCAGAUAAAACAGCUUUUACUGCUCUUAUUGAUGGCAACUUGAAGCUUGGAAAUCUUCAGGAAGCUUUGGAUUUGAUUAGCAGAAUGACAGACUUAGCUAUUGAGUUUGAUUUACAUGCUUAUACUUCCAUGGUUUCGGGAUUUUCUCAAUGUGGUGACCUGCAUCAAGCAAGGAAGUUUUUUAAUGAAAUGAUUGAGAAAGGCAUACUUCCCGAGGAGAUUUUAUGUACAUGUCUACUGAGAGAGUAUUACAAGCUUGGACAGUUGGACGAAGCCAUUGAAUUGAAGAAUGAAAUGAGAAGGAGGGGUUUAAUUACUGAAAACUGUAGCCUUGAAGUUCCCAGUCUUAGAACUUGAUGAGGUCCAAUCUGAUCAUCUUUGGUGUCUGUAUUUUAAUUACAAGCACAUGUGGUCUUUAUUUGGGAUUUAGAGAGUAUGACAACCCAAGAAACCCACCGUUCAAAUGGCCGCCAUGUCUGAUGGGAAGAACUUGCAGGCCAUGCGUGAUGUAUCUGAUGUUGGUUUUAAAAGCUCUGAUCCAAAAUAUUCUAUUUGAUAAGAUGCAGCUUUCUAGUUUCUAAAUGAUAUCUGCAUAAAAUCCCAUCAUAUCAUGCGUUUCAUUAAUCAUCAGUCUUCUAUAAAUGGGAGUGUUAGUCUUUCUCAUUCUCUUUCUCUUUCCCAAAAAGAAGAAUUUUGUUUAGACAUGAGAUACAGGUCCAAAGAGGAGUCCUGUGCUACCAUAUAUUGAUUCCCGUGGAACCAUUCUAGCGAAAAUAUCUAUCUUUUGUUUUACCGAUUGAAGCG
Cucurbita pepo subsp. pepo (vegetable marrow) is the source of this 3027-nucleotide non-coding RNA. Lineage: Eukaryota; Viridiplantae; Streptophyta; Magnoliopsida; Cucurbitales; Cucurbitaceae. The record is from RefSeq and is a predicted model, not a curated record.